UAUAUAAAGUCGUCUGACCACCAUAUUAAAACAUGUAGAAUCUUGCCGGUAUUGAUUCGAAGUGGACAGAAGUGGAGUCUUGACUUCAAAUGUCAGAUUAAAAAUUGUUUUUAUGCUGAUGUACUGGAGUUCGCGAUGGAACGUAUCUGGACUUCAAGAGACAAGAGUGGCCUUGCGCUACAAGAUGCUGUUAACAGUUUACCAGCUUUCGACGUUGUGAUUUGUUCUAGGAUGCAUCAGGUAAUUUAUGGUGCUGGAAGAUUCUGGGCUGUGAUGUUCACGUCACUUUGUCUUGUUAUGAGGUGGAUUCCGUACCUUAGGUGGUGAGUUGGUGGGUUUGCCGUUCGUCGUGUUGGAAAUGUGGCAUUCGAGUGGCGCUGUGCCGCUGUUCUAGCAUUGACGUUUCCUUAUGGGUCCGGUGUCACGUUCAUCGUAGGCUCGCAACGGCGUGUUGUGGUCUUAUCGAACUGUAUGUUUCCAGGCUUCAGGUGUUUAUCUGGUGGACGUGUUGAUUCAGUUUUUCGGCAUGUACGGGGUGCGGCAAUUACUUCAUACCGUGCAGUUUCCCUUGCUGUUGUCGUGGUUUGCUGUGGCAAAUUGCUGUCGGCAUAUCGUCAUGGCGCCAUUAUGGGAUCGAAUCGGUUGCAGAUCCAGCUAUGGAGCCGUUGGUUUGCGUCCUAGAUGGUUUUUCGAUUCCCUUGGUUCUGUUUGACUAGUUGCUAACAACUAAUCGUGUUACCGUUCCCUUCUAGUCAUUUGUUUCAUCGCCGCAGAUGCCGUGUUUUCUAGUAUUGCGACGUGGGGACGUCGGUGGAUAUGUAAUCGGGAUUUCACUGAUGCAGUUGCUGUGGAAAUUGGUUACGUACAACAUUCUUGAUAUGCUGCUUGGCGUGGGCGUUGUUCAAUUCGGGAAUUGUUUGGAUUAUUGCGGUCGAACUGAUUUAAGAUCAGCUUGAAUUUUUGUUUUGCGACAUUCAAUUCUUUACCGUUUGCAUCAAUAUGUUUUAAUUAUGUGUAAAAUUUAAAUACAUAUUUAGUAAUUUGA
Daphnia magna is the source of this 1045-nucleotide long non-coding RNA. RefSeq lists it as uncharacterized. NCBI's taxonomy places the organism in Eukaryota, Metazoa, Arthropoda, Branchiopoda, Diplostraca, Daphniidae. The transcript is spliced from 10 exons. The record is from RefSeq and is a predicted model, not a curated record.